RNAcentral lists this long non-coding RNA (1455 nucleotides) under Sus scrofa (pig). RNAcentral's name for it is "lncRNA (ENSSSCG00005040192.1)". Lineage: Eukaryota; Metazoa; Chordata; Mammalia; Artiodactyla; Suidae. The record is from RNAcentral.
CAAGCCGAGUCUGUGAACUACACUACAGCUCACAGCAAUGCCAGAUCCUUAACCCACAGAGUGAAGCCAGGAAUUGAACCCACAUCCUCAGGGAUACUAGUCAGGUUCAUUAUCUGACUAGCCACGAAGGGAACUCCACAUGUGGCCUCUCUGAAGCUGUUUUGUGUUGUAUCAACAAGAUGAAGCAUUCAGUGCCAAGAGCAGACUGAAUGGUGGACAGUCAGGCAGUUUGGAAGGACAGAUCCAGUUACUCCCAGAAGAGUCCUUAUCUAGGGUCAACCUUGGAGCCACCACGAUUGAUUUAUUCAGGAAAGCAGCCUUUUCUCACCCCUACCGCCCAGUCCCAUGGCUGAGGAAUUUGAGAAAGGUCUCCCCUAAUCCUUGGGCGCCAUCUGUUUGCACUGGAUGACAAAACAUCCCUGGCAGAGGGCUCUGUACCUUUCAUUGCAUCAAGGCUCUUUCAUCGGCAUUCUGGAAAAGGCUUAGUUUCUGAAGCUGCAAAGAGGGCGAAGUUGACAUAUUUUCAUUUUCGGCCCAGAAAUAUUCUGAGUAAUCCUUGUGCCAGGGAUUUGGGGACAAGGCAGAGACUGACAUAUCCCCAAGGGUGUCUGGAACCAGCAACUUACCAACAGGGAUUGGUCCUUGGUGUCAGGAUGGACUUGGGUGGAAGUGUAUUCCCUAAAAGCACGGGGUGCUGGAGAAUUCAUAACAGCUCCUCGGACACUGUCAGGCCCUGAGCUCAGUUGCAUGGUCUUAUGGAUCCCUCAACAGGCCUGGCUUUUGGCCCCAUUUCACAGAUGGUGAAGUUGAGCUCACAGAAGUCAUGUCACUAUAAUUCUCCCUAGGUCACAUGAAUAGUAAGUACAGCUAGAGUUUGAAUCCAGAUCCUCUUUAUUUUAUUCACUCAUUUGUAUAUUUUGAUGCUUUUUAGUAAAUUUUAAUUGUACACAUUUUUAAAAAUUACAGUUGUUUUACAAUGUUGUGCUAAUUUCUGCUGUAUAGCAAAGUGACCCAGUCACAUAUUUUGUAUAGUCCCUUUUUUAUAAUAUAUAUAUAAGAAUAUAUAUAUAUAUAUUUUUUCUUUUGUUGUUGUUGUUGUUGCUUUUUAGGUCCACACCUGUGACACAUGGAAGUUCCCAGGCUAGGGGUCGAAUCGGAGCUGUAGCCACUGGCCUACGCCAGAGCCACAGCAACGCGGGAUCCGAGCUGCGUCUGCAACCUACACCACAGCUCAGGACAAUGCCGGAUCGUGAGCAGGGGCAGGGACCGAACCCGCAACCUCAUGGUUCCUAGUCGGAUUCGUUAACCACUGUGCCACGACGGGAACUCCAUGAUCACAUUUUGAAUAUUGAGAAUCUGGGAAAUAUGGUGUCUUUUCUUGCCAUACUCUGGUUAUGCUCUGCUUGUAUUUCCUUGUUUCACCUUCUAAAGUCUUGCAUGACCCAUUCAGCUCAA